UAGAAGCUCAUUCCUUCAUUAUUUUUUACGAAUUCACUGAAACUCUAGAGAGAGAAAAUUAUAGAGAGAAAGAAGAAAAGUUUUCUGCUACUUAACUACUUUUAUAUUCAGUUCUUUUACGGUAAGGGGUGUUAUUCUUUCUUAUUUAUGAAGAGAACUGUUGUUAUUCCAUUGCUUAUUAUUCUGUUGGAACAUCCUGUCUGUGUGUUUUACACCGGACCUGGUUCCGUCUUUAUUAUUAUUCUGUUGGAACAUCCUGUUUGUGUGUUUUACACCGGACCUGGUUCUGUCUUUAUUAUUAUUCUGUUGGAACAUUCUGUCUGUGUGUUUAACACCGGACUUGGUUCCGUCUUUAUUAUUCUGUUGGAACAUCCUGUCGGUACAAAUUUUGCCUGACCUGG
This 401-nucleotide long non-coding RNA is filed under the name Panax ginseng (ginseng). RNAcentral describes it as "long non-coding RNA (PGIN_LNC006562)". The record is from RNAcentral. Lineage: Eukaryota; Viridiplantae; Streptophyta; Magnoliopsida; Apiales; Araliaceae.